AACGAACGCUGGCGGCAGGCCUAACACAUGCAAGUCGAGCGCCCUUUCGGGGGAGCGGCGGACGGGUGAGUAACGCGUGGGAAUAUGCCCUUCUCUACGGAAUAGCCUCGGGAAACUGAGAGUAAUACCGUAUACGCCCUGUGAGGGAAAGAUUUAUCGGGGAAGGAUUAGCCCGCGUUGGAUUAGGUAGUUGGUGGGGUAAUGGCCUACCAAGCCGACGAUCCAUAGCUGGUUUGAGAGGAUGAUCAGCCACACUGGGACUGAGACACGGCCCAGACUCCUACGGGAGGCAGCAGUGGGGAAUCUUAGACAAUGGGGGCAACCCUGAUCUAGCCAUGCCGCGUGAGUGAUGAAGGCCUUAGGGUUGUAAAGCUCUUUCAGCUGGGAAGAUAAUGACGGUACCAGCAGAAGAAGCCCCGGCUAACUCCGUG
This 431-nucleotide ribosomal RNA is filed under the name uncultured bacterium. Its description in RNAcentral is "partial 16S ribosomal RNA". It matches the Rfam family "Bacterial small subunit ribosomal RNA", at positions 29 to 507 of the family's 1533-position model. The record is from RNAcentral.